RNAcentral lists this ribosomal RNA (928 nucleotides) under uncultured bacterium. RNAcentral's name for it is "bacterial SSU rRNA". It matches the Rfam family "Bacterial small subunit ribosomal RNA", at positions 9 to 943 of the family's 1533-position model. The record is from RNAcentral.
GAGUUUGAUCAUGGCUCAGGAUGAACGCUAGCGGCAGGCCUAACACAUGCAAGUCGAGGGGUAGUUACUUUCGGGUAAUGAGACCGGCGCACGGGUGCGUAACGCGUAUGCAAUCUACCUUUUACAGGGGAAUAGCCCAGAGAAAUUUGGAUUAAUGCCCCAUGGUAUUAUGACUUGGCAUCAAGAUGUAAUUAAAGUUCCAACGGUAAAAGAUGAGCAUGCGUCCCAUUAGUUAGUUGGUAAGGUAACGGCUUACCAAGACGAUGAUGGGUAGGGGUCCUGAGAGGGAGAUCCCCCACACUGGUACUGAGACACGGACCAGACUCCUACGGGAGGCAGCAGUGAGGAAUAUUGGACAAUGGGCGCAAGCCUGAUCCAGCCAUGCCGCGUGCAGGAAGACGGUCCUAUGGAUUGUAAACUGCUUUUGUACAGGAAGAAACACUCCCUCGUGAGGGAGCUUGACGGUACUGUAAGAAUAAGGAUCGGCUAACUCCGUGCCAGCAGCCGCGGUAAUACGGAGGAUCCAAGCGUUAUCCGGAAUCAUUGGGUUUAAAGGGUCCGUAGGCGGUUUAAUAAGUCAGUGGUGAAAUCUGGUCGCUCAACGAUCAAACGGCCAUUGAUACUGUUAGACUUGAAUUAUUUGGAAGUAACUAGAAUAUGUAGUGUAGCGGUGAAAUGCUUAGAUAUUACAUGGAAUACCAAUUGCGAAGGCAGGUUACUACAAGUGGAUUGACGCUGAUGGACGAAAGCGUGGGGAGCGAACAGGAUUAGAUACCCUGGUAGUCCACGCCGUAAACGAUGGAUACUAGCUGUUCGGAGCAAUCUGAGUGGCUAAGCGAAAGUGAUAAGUAUCCCACCUGGGGAGUACGUUCGCAAGAAUGAAACUCAAAGGAAUUGACGGGGGCCCGCACAAGCGGUGGAGCAUGUG